UGCCAGAGCCGCGGUAAGACGGAGGGGGCUAGCGUUGUUCGGAAUUACUGGGCGUAAAGCGCACGUAGGCGGCUUUGUAAGUUAGAGGUGAAAGCCCAGGGCUCAACCCUGGAAUUGCCUUUAAGACUGCAUCGCUUGAACAUCGGAGAGGUGAGUGGAAUUCCGAGUGUAGAGGUGAAAUUCGUAGAUAUUCGGAAGAACACCAGUGGCGAAGGCGACUCACUGGACGAUUGUUGACGCUGAGGUGCGAAAGCGUGGGGAGCAAACAGG
This 270-nucleotide ribosomal RNA is filed under the name uncultured prokaryote. RNAcentral's name for it is "partial 16S ribosomal RNA". It matches the Rfam family "Bacterial small subunit ribosomal RNA", at positions 506 to 776 of the family's 1533-position model. The record is from RNAcentral.